CGUACGUGGUGCGGAACACGUUGUUGCACUGCUUUAUCUGGGGGAUAGCCUUUCGAAAGGAAGAUUAGUACCCCAUAAUAUGUAGAAUGGCGUCAUUCGACAUUGAAAACUCCGGUGGAUAGAGAUGGGCACUGCGCAAGAUUAGAUAGUUGGUGAGGUAACGGUCACCAAGUCUAAGAUCUUAGGGGCCUGAGAGGGUGAUCCCCCACACUGGUACUGAGACACGGACCAGACUCCUACGGGAGGCAGCAGUGAGGAAUAUUGGACAAUGGGUGAGAGCCUGAUCCAGCCAUCCCGCGUGAAGGACGACUGCCCUAUGGGUUGUAAACUUCUUUUGUAUAGGGAUAAACCUACCUCGUGAGGGUAGCUGAAGGUACUAUACGAAUAACACGGCUAACUCCGUGCCAGCAGCCGCGGUAAUACGGAGGGUGCAAGCGUUAUCCGGAUUAAUUGGGUAUAAAUCGGGUCCGNUAAGGGGGAUAUGUAAAGGUCAAGUGGGUGAAAAUCAUUCAACAGAGUUUACUUGNUGAAAAAUUGCUAUAAGAAUACUGAAACGGGUACUGAAAAAUGAUUGCAUUGAAAAUUAUCAAUGGAAAAUGA
Molecule: ribosomal RNA, 600 nt
Filed under: uncultured bacterium
Lineage: Bacteria
Description: bacterial SSU rRNA
Rfam family: Bacterial small subunit ribosomal RNA
Source: RNAcentral